CCUACGGGCGGCAGCAGUGGGGAAUAUUGCGCAAUGGGGGCAACCCUGACGCAGCCAUGCCGCGUGAAUGAAGAAGGCCUUCGGGUUGUAAAGUUCUUUCGGUGACGAGGAAGGCGUGAUGUUUAAUAGACAUCACGAUUGACGUUAAUCACAGAAGAAGCACCGGCUAACUCCGUGCCAGCAGCCGCGGUAAUACGGAGGGUGCGAGCGUUAAUCGGAAUAACUGGGCGUAAAGGGCACGCAGGCGGCUAUUUAAGUGAGGUGUGAAAUCCCCGGGCUUAACCUGGGAAUUGCAUUUCAGACUGGGUAGCUAGAGUACUUUAGGGAGGGGUAGAAUUCCACGUGUAGCGGUGAAAUGCGUAGAGAUGUGGAGGAAUACCGAAGGCGAAGGCAGCCCCUUGGGAAUGUACUGACGCUCAUGUGCGAAAGCGUGGGGAGCAAACAGGAUUAGAUACCCUAGUAGUC
Molecule: ribosomal RNA, 465 nt
Filed under: uncultured Aggregatibacter sp.
Lineage: Bacteria; Pseudomonadati; Pseudomonadota; Gammaproteobacteria; Pasteurellales; Pasteurellaceae
Description: bacterial SSU rRNA
Rfam family: Bacterial small subunit ribosomal RNA
Source: RNAcentral